Molecule: antisense RNA, 75 nt
Filed under: Actinoalloteichus hymeniacidonis
Lineage: Bacteria; Bacillati; Actinomycetota; Actinomycetes; Pseudonocardiales; Pseudonocardiaceae
Description: ASpks TB sRNA
Rfam family: ASpks TB sRNA
Source: RNAcentral
CUUCACCGACCCGAGCCACAGUGGACGAUCCUCGGAUCGGUCCCUGCCGUAGGCGGCGAGGAGCGCCUGCGCCUC